Molecule: long non-coding RNA, 380 nt
Filed under: Mytilus galloprovincialis (Mediterranean mussel)
Lineage: Eukaryota; Metazoa; Mollusca; Bivalvia; Mytilida; Mytilidae
Source: RNAcentral
AAGAGAUCAGUGGCAGAUCAAGAGGGGAUGGUGUAUGCCAUCCCGCUAUAUUUGCCCCCAAUAUUUAUUUAAUGUUUUUCAUGUUUCGCAUGAAUCAUCCAAAAUAAUUAAGCCUCGCAUCUCUAGGCAGUAUUAUAUCCGCUUAUGGAAUUACAACCCCCUUUUAAAAAUCCUGGAUUCACCCCUGGAGAUCACAUUUGAGAGCAGGAAUCUAACAACUUUACUUUGUUCAUAUACAGUGUAAAAUGAAUCACGACAUUUACUGUUUAAAAUACACUGUAUACUUUAAUGUUUUUUACAAACAGAUGUUAACUAACAGUUGUACAUAAAGACUUGAUGAAAAAUUGAUGAAAAAAUUCUCUUGUUCAUUGAGAAAUGAU